Non-coding RNA from Pelobates cultripes (western spadefoot toad), 130 nucleotides. The record is from the annotation of a GenBank genome assembly. NCBI's taxonomy places the organism in Eukaryota, Metazoa, Chordata, Amphibia, Anura, Pelobatidae.
CCCGAGGCUAGAGUCACAUCAUGAUACUGUCAUUUGCCAUGGUGUGCAACAGUGCUCGGAGAGAAUUACUGAUCUUUAUUCACUGGUUGAUUUCACUGUAACUCAGCCAGUCACCUGGUCAGUGACAGAU